AGGGGCCAAUUUCACCCUUCCCUAGCAAGACUCGGAGGAGGUUCUUCCUACACAAGAAGCCCAUCUGACCACCAGGGCUUCCUGGCAGAGAGUGGUGCUAGAUGUCAGCCAGGAACUCCCCAGACCAGGUAUUCUUCCAGGCUCAGGCAUAAAGAACCAGGAGGCUUUUAUUUUCUAUUAAUCAACCUAGUUGGAAGCAGAGCCAUUGUAAAGGCAGAGAGGUAUUGAUUACAGGAUUAAAGAAGGAAAACGCUGCUUAUACAAUGUGCUGUUCAGCAGAAGCCUCCCCUGGAUACUUGAAUAAAAUCCUCGGGCUGAAAAUGCAAAGGGAGAAGUCAGAGGUGGGAG
This 348-nucleotide long non-coding RNA is filed under the name Homo sapiens (human). RNAcentral describes it as "HSALNT0129772". The record is from RNAcentral. Lineage: Eukaryota; Metazoa; Chordata; Mammalia; Primates; Hominidae.